Molecule: small nuclear RNA, 104 nt
Filed under: Microcebus murinus (gray mouse lemur)
Lineage: Eukaryota; Metazoa; Chordata; Mammalia; Primates; Cheirogaleidae
Source: RNAcentral
AUGCUCGCUUUGGCAGCACAUAUACUAAAAUUGGAACGAUACAGAGAAGAUUAGCAUGGCCCCUGCAUGAGGAUGACAUAAUUAUAAAAUUAUAAAACAAAAAU